This 65-nucleotide transfer RNA is filed under the name Sericostoma personatum. RNAcentral describes it as "tRNA-Ser". Lineage: Eukaryota; Metazoa; Arthropoda; Insecta; Trichoptera; Sericostomatidae. The record is from RNAcentral.
AAUUAAUGAGCUUGUAUAAAAAGCAUUUGUUUUGAAAACUUAAGAAAGAAUAUUUCUAUUAAUUU